UUACCUGUGUGUGUGUGUUUGUGCGUGUGUGUGUGCGCGCGUGUGGGCACACGUGUGUGUCAAGUGUGUGUCAGAGCAUGUCAGUGUAUGUGCACAUAUGUGCAUGUGUCCAUGUGUGUGUCCCUGUUUAUGCAUGUGUCACUGUGUGUCUGUGUAUGUCUGUGUGCUAAUGUGUGUGUCUGCGUGUGUCCUUGUGUAUGCAUGUGUGUUGAGAAACACGUAGAGAUCUUGAGACUAAAUUCAUAGAGGCGUUUUGUUCAGAACUUCUCUCCAAGGCCAGGAAGACAGGCUAAAUGGCUCCAAAUCUCAACCUCCAACUGCUUGUCGGAUGUGGCCACCUGAAUCCCAACAGCGCCUUUGGUAUCUUUAAAGGUGAGCCAUCUCCAUCCCCACAGAACCCACCCCCCUUUUUCCUGUUUCUGUCAAAGCCACCGUCACUUUUCUGCUUUGAGAGCCUAAUCCUCCAAGCCACGUGGAAAGAAUGGAAACUUCCCAUCACAGUCCUGGAUCCCAGCUGCCCCAAAACCAGCUGUGAGUUUGCCUCUCUGAGCUUUAGUUUCCUUCGCUGGCAAAUCUGUAAACGUUCUGGGUCUGCCUGAGGUACGGCACAGAUAGGACGGUAGUGCAAGGAUGCCCAAACCCCUAGGAACAUUCUCUCCGUGUUUUAUGGUUUCCUUAUUGUAAAUCCACUUUCCCAAUGUAGAAUUUAAAACAAAACAUCCUUGGGGAUUACAAAUCAACAAGAGAUUUGGGAGGGGACACAUACCCAAACUAUAUCAGACUGUUUAAGAAAAUGGUCUAUGUUUUAGAGAUACAUUUGGAAAUAUUUAGGGGGGAUAUACCUGCAAUUCACUUUAAAAUAUUUCAGCUUAAAAUAUAUAGUCAAUUUACAGGUUAAGAUGCAAUUGUGAGAAACUGCAAGUUAGAAAUACUAUGAGUUUAAGCAAUUAUCUUAUGAAAGUAAUUACAACUGCCUGAGUUCAUGCUGCUAAUAGCUCCAUGUCACGUUAUCUAUGUUAUGUGUAACAGGUCAAAUUGUUCAUAACUUUGUCAUUCAAAGAGCUGUAGAGGUGUGAGCAAAAUCAGUGUAUUCAGUCAAAAUGGUGUUCAUGACAAGGGGAGCCCCUUGGAUGUCUGAGGCCAUGCAUGUGCAAUUAUUGGGGAGUCUGAGAGUUAUCUGAGGGGGGAGGGGGUUCAAAUGCCUGAGGAGUGACUGUGGGAUGAUAUGCAAACAGUACUUGGCAAUGACCAAGACCACAUACUUGCAAAGCUCACUCCCAUGAAGACCAACUCAAAGACCAAAACCAUACUCCAGGCUAUGCUAGAAAUUUAGAAGCCAGAACCAAGGGAAAGCUGGCAAGAUGAGCCCAGAGGAAGGACUCUGCAAAGAUGAGGAGCCCAGAGGGAGAUGUCUAGGACAGGCUCCACACAAAACCAUGCUGUAGGCAUGCUGUGGUCCUCCUUUCUCAUGGCUUGUGUGACAUCCGUCCAGUUAGUAUCAGAGUUAUAAAAACCGACUCUGCAGCUUCAGGGUGGUCACACUGCAGUAAAGCAGUGAGUGUGUGUGUAUGUGAGUGUGUGUGUAUGUGAGGGUGUGUGUAUGUGAGUGUGUGUGUAUGUGAGGGUGUGUGUAUGUGAGUGUGUGUAUGUGAGGGUGUGUGUAUGUGAGUGUGUGUGUAUGUGAGGGUGUGUGUAUGUGAGGGUGUGUGUAUGUGAGUGUGUGUGUAUGUGAGGGUGUGUGUAUGUGAGGGUGUGUGUAUGUGAGGGUGUGUAUGUGAGGGUGUGUGUAUGUGAGGGUGUGUGUAUGUGAGGGUGUGUGUAUGUGAGUGUGUGUGUAUGUGAGGGUGUGUGUAUGUGAGGGUGUGUGUAUGUGAGGGUGUGUGUAUGUGAGGGUGUGUGUAUGUGAGGGUGUGUGUAUGUGAGGGUGUGUGUAUGUGAGGGUGUGUGUAUGUGAGUGUGUGUGUAUGUGAGGGUGUGUGUUUGCCACAGGGUCUGGCCCACGGCACACUGGAGGGAGACCCUGAAGAGGAAGGAAUGCUCAUAUUAGUGAAAACUGAGAGCUGACAACCUAAAGAUGGGAUAGUAAACUUAACUUACUUAAAGCAGACCAAUGUGGACAUAUAGUUUCAGGGUAGAUAGUGUUCUACAUCUCAUUGGUCAUGGAGGCAUCACUGUGUUACUCUUUGUCAUCAAGAAUAGAUUAAAAUAGGCUGGGCACCUAUAGACGUGGCUCACGCCUGUAAUCCAAGCACUUUGGGAGGCUGAGGAGGGUGGAUUAUUUGAGAUCAGGAGCUCAAGACCAACAUGGCCAACAUGGCCAACAUGAUGAGACCCCCGUCUAUACUAAAAAUACAAAAAGUAGCCAGGUAUGGCAGCACGCACCUGUGAUCCCAGCUACUCGGGAGGCUGAGGUAGGAGAAUCACUUGAACCCAGGAGGCAGAGUUUGCAGUGAGCUGAGAUUGUGCUACUCCACUCCAGGUUGGGCAUCAGAGCGAGACUCCGUCUCAAAAAAAAAAAAAAAAAGAAUCCAUUAUAAUAGCCUUUAUUUAGGGAAACAGGGAAUUAUGCGCCAGUUUUUGAGUCAUCAAACAUUAUUAACAUUCGUUAAAGUUUUGUUUUCAGUGUCAUUUAUGAGACAAUGCUACAAAUGUUUCAUGUACAAAUGCCACAUAACUGAAAGUGACUGCAUUAAGUAGCCUGGACAAAUUUAUUCCCAACACACAAGUGAUGGAAACCAAUACUCACAGUGGAAGGGCUCCUAGAGACCAAUUUAUUCAAAUAUUCUCCUAUCAUAGGAAGAAAACAUGAGGACUGGAGACGGAAAAAGACUUGCCAUGCACACAAGUUACAUGAAAGAUUAAACCAAGGCUGUUCUCCGAUCCCCUCUCCUCUAGCUCAAAUCACAUCCAGGGGCUCAACUUCUCACAAAACUAUGUGAAUUUAUACAAUCAAAUUGGAUUCCCCAAGAUACUUGUGCUGGCUAAACCUUCAUGGGACAAAGAAGCCUCAUAUGCUUAUUUCCUCAUCUGUAAU
Molecule: long non-coding RNA, 3034 nt
Filed under: Homo sapiens (human)
Lineage: Eukaryota; Metazoa; Chordata; Mammalia; Primates; Hominidae
Description: HSALNT0133110
Source: RNAcentral